GGCAGCGUCUGAUUGCCUUGAAUAAGGGGAGGUCAGUUUUGACUCCUGCCCUACCUCUUCAGUCUGGCUGGUGUAGCACAAACUGAGCAGACAGGAUCAAUUCUUCAAGGGCGUAUUCCAUCUCCUGGUCAGAGAGGGCACUGCCUGAUGCGGCAAGAGACAUGCCGUGGUCCUCACUUUUGGAUUCGUUGGAAUUAAGGUCCGCCCCCUGGGAAAGGUGAGGGUUCUCCAAAACAGCCUGAAGCACAGACAGAGGGGAUGCCUGAGUAGCUUCUCCCUCCUCUGGGACUUCGUUGUCAACAGAGUCGCCCUCGAGCAAGGAUGAGGCCUGGGCAAUACUUUCCGUGUACUUCACUCUAAGGACACCGGAGCCCAUACGAGCACAAUGCAAACAACUUGUGUGGUCGACGAGGGCCUCCAUAGCGUGUUCAACGCCGAGGCAAGUAGUACAGAGUAGAUGGGAAUCCGUACCGGACAUGUGAUGCCCACAAUUGCCAGAGCAAGCUUUGCUAGGCUUGUGCUGCUUUUUCUCCCCCUUCCCUGACAACUUGGCCGGUAAGCCUGUCGACAUCUCGUUUCACCCGGACAGACUAAAGCAAAUCGAGUUACCGGGGGGCUAUCUAGCUACACCAUGCACUGCUACUACAACUACAACGCGAAGUCGGAAGAAACACAGGUUAACGUGAGCUUGAGUCAGGGGCACUCCUGAAAUAUUUUGAAGCACACUCUGGCACUGGCCAGGAUGAGGAGCCAUCCACCUCCUCAGCCACACAGGUCUCUUCAGAAUGAUCUCGGAGCCUUGGGAUGAGGAGCCAUCCACCUCCUCAGCCACACAGGCCUCUUCAGAAUGAUCUCGGAGCCUUGGGAUGAGGAGCCAUCCACCUCCUCAGCCACACAGGCCUCUUCAGAAAUGAUCUCAGAGCCUCAGAAUGAGGAGCCAUCCACCUCCUCAGCCACACAGGUCUCUUCAGAAAUGAUCUCGGAGCCUCAGGAUGAGGAGCCAUCCACCUCCUCAGCCACACAGGUGUCUUCACAAAUGUUGUCUGAGCCUGAGGAUGAAGACCCAUUUGCUUCCACUUCUCCCCAGCAGGAUUCUUCAGAAAUGCCUGUAGCAGCAUCCCCACCAAAUCCUGCUGCUGAGGAUGAACCACUGUCUACAGACACUGUCUACAGACCCUGCUGACUGGCCUUCAAUAAACCAAAACACAAAGCCAAAUAUUCACCGGUGUUGCUUACCAAGAAGACAUUGAAUGUUCCUGAGUGGCUUAGUUAUAGUUGUGACUUAACUCUGCUUGAAAAUCUAUGGCAAGAGCUUGUAGAAGUUUUUAAAGAAUGUGUAAAUAUUGUACAAACCAGGUGUGCAAAGCUGUUAGAGACAUACCCAGAAAGACUCACAUCUGUAAUCGCUACCAAAGGUGAUUCUAACGUUAACUCAGGGAUGUGUAUAUUUUUGUAAAUGAG
This 1461-nucleotide long non-coding RNA is filed under the name Salmo salar (Atlantic salmon). RNAcentral describes it as "lncRNA (ENSSSAG00000119156.1)". The record is from RNAcentral. Lineage: Eukaryota; Metazoa; Chordata; Actinopteri; Salmoniformes; Salmonidae.